UAGACCCGAAACCCGGUGAUCUAGCCAUGGGCAGGUUGAAGGUUGGGUAACACUAACUGGAGGACCGAACCGACUAAUGUUGAAAAAUUAGCGGAUGACUUGUGGCUGGGGGUGAAAGGCCAAUCAAACCGGGAGAUAGCUGGUUCUCCCCGAAAGCUAUUUAGGUAGCGCCUCGUGAAUUCAUCUCCGGGGGUAGAGCACUGUUUCGGCAAGGGGGUCAUCCCGACUUACCAACCCGAUGCAAACUGCGAAUACCGGAGAAUGUUAUCACGGGAGACACACGGCGGGUGCUAACGUCCGUCGUGAAGAGGGAAACAACCCAGACCGCCAGCUAAGGUCCCAAAGUCAUGGUUAAGUGGGAAACGAUGUGGGAAGGCCCAGACAGCCAGGAUGUUGGCUUAGAAGCAGCCAUCAUUUAAAGAAAGCGUAAUAGCUCACUGGUCGAGUCGGCCUGCGCGGAAGAUGUAACGGGGCUAAACCAUG
Molecule: ribosomal RNA, 483 nt
Filed under: Escherichia coli
Lineage: Bacteria; Pseudomonadati; Pseudomonadota; Gammaproteobacteria; Enterobacterales; Enterobacteriaceae
Description: partial 23S ribosomal RNA
Rfam family: Bacterial large subunit ribosomal RNA
Source: RNAcentral